Solea solea (common sole) is the source of this 489-nucleotide long non-coding RNA. RefSeq lists it as uncharacterized. NCBI's taxonomy places the organism in Eukaryota, Metazoa, Chordata, Actinopteri, Pleuronectiformes, Soleidae. The transcript is spliced from 3 exons. The record is from RefSeq and is a predicted model, not a curated record.
ACCAAGAUGUCACAGUUUGUAGUAGUAUGUCGUCCAAAAAAAUCACCAAAAAGUUAUAGUUUAGUAUGUCGUCCAAAAAGUCAUAGUUUAGUAUGUCGUCCGAAAUGUCAUAGUUUAGUAUGUCGUCCAAAAAAGCACAAAACGGUGUGUAAUGACGUUCCUGCAUUACUGAGGGGACCAAUUCCACAAAGAAGCUCAAUAUGUUGAAGACACGGGAAAUAAAAUCAACCAUGGAUAAGGAGAAGUCACAUGACUGUGAUGUGGGAUAAUCGGACAGGACAGACAAGGGGGAAGGGGAAGAUGGAGGAGUCACUGGGAAAGAGAGGCAGAGAGAGAGAGAGACAAGAACAAUGACACCAGAGAGACAGUACAGUCAGUGCAGAACAGAUGCUGUCGUCUGCAGAGGAAGGAAGCAAAGUAUUUUGAAGGCACGAAAGUCUACAGAUUGCACCUCCCACUCUCCGUCUGUCUGUCCGUGUGUUUUGCCUA